GACGAACGCUGGCGGCGUGCCUAAUACAUGCAAGUCGAGCGAAGUUUUUCUGGUGCUUGCACCGGAAAAACUUAGCGGCGCACGGGUGAGUAACACGUAAAGAACCUGCCUUAUAGACUGGGACCACUAUUGGAAACGAUAGCUAAUACCAGAUAACAGCAUUAACUGCAUGGUUGAUGUUUGAAAGUUGGUUUUGCUAACACUAUGAGAUGGCUUUGCGGUGCAUUAGCUAGUUGGUGGGGUAAAGGCCUACCAAGGCAACGAUGCAUAGCCGACCUGAGAGGGUGAUCGGCCACACUGGGACUGAGACACGGCCCAGACUCCUACGGGAGGCAGCAGUAGGGAAUCUUCCGCAAUGGGCGAAAGCCUGACGGAGCAACGCCGCGUGAGUGAAGAAGGAUUUCGGUUCGUAAAGCUCUGUUGUUAGGGAAGAAUGAUUGUGUAGUAACUAUACACAGUAGAGACGGUACCUAACCAGAAAGCCACGGCUAACUACGUG
This 499-nucleotide ribosomal RNA is filed under the name uncultured bacterium. Its description in RNAcentral is "partial 16S ribosomal RNA". It matches the Rfam family "Bacterial small subunit ribosomal RNA", at positions 28 to 507 of the family's 1533-position model. The record is from RNAcentral.